UAACAGGCAGAUCUUCCCAAAAAGUUCACAUCUAUGGCAAGGUUUGGCACCUCGAUGCCGACUCUUCGCCACCUGGGGCGGUAGUACGUUCCAAGGGCUGGGCUGUUCGCCCAUUAUAGCAGUAUGUGAUCUAGACACAUCUUAAAAGGUG
RNAcentral lists this non-coding RNA (151 nucleotides) under Marchantia polymorpha subsp. ruderalis. RNAcentral describes it as "Bacterial large subunit ribosomal RNA". It matches the Rfam family "Bacterial large subunit ribosomal RNA", at positions 2475 to 2632 of the family's 2925-position model. The record is from Rfam by way of RNAcentral. Lineage: Eukaryota; Viridiplantae; Streptophyta; Marchantiopsida; Marchantiales; Marchantiaceae.